This 446-nucleotide ribosomal RNA is filed under the name uncultured bacterium. Its description in RNAcentral is "bacterial SSU rRNA". It matches the Rfam family "Bacterial small subunit ribosomal RNA", at positions 329 to 790 of the family's 1533-position model. The record is from RNAcentral.
UACCAGACUCCUACGGGAGGCAGCAGUGGGGAAUAUUGGGCAAUGGGCGCAAGCCUGACCCAGCAAUGCCGCGUGAAGGAAGAAGGCUUUCGGGUUGUAAACUUCUUUGACAGGGGAAGAGCAGAAGACGGUACCCUGAAAACAAGCCACGGCUAACUACGUGCCAGCAGCCGCGGUAAUACGUAGGUGGCAAGCGUUGUCCGGAUUUACUGGGUGUAAAGGGCGUGUAGCCGGGAAGGCAAGUCAGAUGUGAAAUCUGGAGGCUCAACCUCCAAAUUGCAUUUGAAACUGUUUUUCUUGAGUACUGGAGAGGCAGACGGAAUUCCUUGUGUAGCGGUGAAAUGCGUAGAUAUCAGGAGGAACACCGGCGGCGAAGGCGGCCUGCUGGACCGUGACUGACGUUGAGGCUCGAGAGCGUGGGGAGCAAACAGGAUUAGAUACCCCCG